Molecule: long non-coding RNA, 1020 nt
Filed under: Chinchilla lanigera (long-tailed chinchilla)
Lineage: Eukaryota; Metazoa; Chordata; Mammalia; Rodentia; Chinchillidae
Description: lncRNA (ENSCLAG00000027169.1)
Source: RNAcentral
CCUGAGUGUUCUUUCAGUUUAGAUGAAAACAGAAUGUUUGCAGGGGGAAAUUCUUUAGAACAGUGAUUGCUGUUGGAUGAGAUCUAGCAAGGUGAUAUUUUUUUUUCUGAACUAUUUUGUAGAAAAGAAAAGUAAGAGAGAGAGAGAGAGAGAAGGGUUUUUCUCAAAUUUGCACAUGGGUGUUUCCUACCAUUGCUUGUAAGAUAAACAGUGCUGCUUAGUGAGGAAGACUGUUAGUGCACGGUGAUAAGAACUACAGAACAGAGACGUGUGCGGUGCUGCGGCAUUAACCACGGACGUCAAAUGGUCUUCCGUUCACGACAAAUCCAAAGAUGCGCAUAGCUGAGAUAGAACCAGAUGACAUUACUUGUUUAACUACUGAAGACUCAAAAGAAAAUGAUCAAGAAAAUCGGAUCAAAAAUAAAAUAUAUGAGAAAAGUCAAGACUCAACUGAGUGUCCAGAUUCUUACAAAUCACUUAAAAUUGAGAGCAGCGUUUGAAAGACGCAGAAGGGUUGAUCACAGUGUAAAUAUUUCCAGUGGAGAAUAUUACAGCCAUGCAGCUGUCAUUCUGACCUUUGAAGAGGCACUGGAAAUGCCAUGGGUGGCCUAAAUAGCACAUCCAAUACAAGCUGAAGUGUUCAAUAAAAUCUAAGCUGGGACAAACAAGAACAAUCUGUCAAGCCAGCUGUUCCCGACAUUUGAUAAAAUUCUCCUUCAUAAAAAAAAGCCUCUGAUAUUAUUCUCUACUCAGUGAUUAGAAAUACCAGUAUGUCAAUUAUUUUACAUAUUUGAGGAUUUCCACAGACCCAUCCUGUAAAACAUGUGAACACGCAGCCAAUGCAAACACUGCUAACACAUUUUACUUAGGACAUAGAAUUUGACUUUGGGGAGUGGUUUGAUUUGUAUGUUGAAAAUAAAUGACUAAGAAAGAAGGUAAAUGCCAUUAGAAAUAUUUUGGAUUUUUCCACACCUAAUCACCACAAUCAGGAGUUAGAGAAAAUUCUUAUGUUAUUUUCAA